Enterococcus villorum ATCC 700913 is the source of this 69-nucleotide non-coding RNA. The record is from Rfam. NCBI's taxonomy places the organism in Bacteria, Bacillati, Bacillota, Bacilli, Lactobacillales, Enterococcaceae.
UAAGGCUUUCGCUUCCUUUCUGAUUGAUUCCAGAAACUUUAAUCAUACAUGGACGAGUACUUUUUGUAC